RNAcentral lists this ribosomal RNA (772 nucleotides) under bacterium. RNAcentral's name for it is "bacterial SSU rRNA". It matches the Rfam family "Bacterial small subunit ribosomal RNA", at positions 38 to 857 of the family's 1533-position model. The record is from RNAcentral.
GGCGGCAGGCUUAACACAUGCAAGUCGAACGCAUCNUUCGGGGUGAGUGGCAGACGGGUGAGUAACGCGUGGGAACGUGCCNUUCAGUUCGGGAUAACCCAGGGAAACUUGGGCUAAUACNGGAUACGUGCGAGAGCAGAAAGAUUUAUCGCUGAAGGAUCGGCCCGCGUCUGAUUAGCUAGUUGGUGGGGUAAUGGCCCACCAAGGCGANGAUCAGUAGCUGGUCUGAGAGGAUGAUCAGCCACACUGGGAGUGAGACACGGCCCAGANUCNUACGGGAGGCAGCAGUGGGGAAUAUUGGACAAUGGGCGCAAGCCUGAUCCAGCCAUGCCGCGUGAGUGAUGAAGGCCUUAGGGUUGUAAAGCUCUUUCAGUGGGGACGAUAAUGACGGUACCCGCAGAAGAAGCCCCGGCUAACUUCGUGCCAGCAGCCGCGGUAAUACGAAGGGGGCUAGCGUUGUUCGGAAUCACUGGGCGUAAAGGGCGCGUAGGCGGCUUUAUAAGUCGGGGGUGAAAGCCUGUGGCUCAACCACAGAAUUGCCUUCGAUACUGUAUGGCUUGAGACCGGAAGAGGUUAGUGGAACUGCGAGUGUAGAGGUGAAAUUCGUAGAUAUUCGCAAGAACACCAGUGGCGAAGGCGGCUGACUGGUCCGGAUCUGACGCUGAGGCGCGAAAGCGUGGGGAGCAAACAGGAUUAGAUACCCUGGUAGUCCACGCCGUAAACGAUGAAUGCCAGCCGUUGGGCAGCUUGCUCCUCAGUGGCGCAGCUAACG